UUGCCUCAGUAACGGCGAGUGAAGCGGCAACAGCUCAAAUUUGAAAUCUGGCCGUUCGGCGGUCCGAGUUGUAAUUUGUAGAGGAUGCUUCGGGUGCGGCGCCGGUCUAAGUUCCUUGGAACAGGACGUCAGAGAGGGUGAGAAUCCCGUAUGUGACCGGUGACCCAGCCCGUGUGAAGCUCCUUCGACGAGUCGAGUUGUUUGGGAAUGCAGCUCUAAAUGGGUGGUAAAUUUCAUCUAAAGCUAAAUACCGGCCAGAGACCGAUAGCGCACAAGUAGAGUGAUCGAAAGAUGAAAAGCACUUUGGAAAGAGAGUUAAAAAGUACGUGAAAUUGUUGAAAGGGAAGCGCUUGUGACCAGACUUGCUCGCGGGCGAUCAGCCGUCCUUCUGGGCGGUGCACUCGCCCGUGAUCAGGCCAGCAUCGGUUCGGGCGGCCGGAUAACGGCCCCGGGAAUGUGGCUCCCCUCGGGGAGUGUUAUAGCCCGGGGCGCAAUGCGGCCCGCCGGGACCGAGGACCGCGCUUCGGCUAGGAUGCUGGCGUAAUGGUCGUAAGCGACCCGUCUUGAAACACGGACCAAGGAGUCUAACAUCUGUGCGAGUGUUUGGGUGUCAAACCCAUGCGCGGAAUGAAAGUGAACGGAGGUGGGAACCCUUCAGGGUGCACCAUCGACCGAUCCUGAUGUCUUCGGAUGGAUUUGAGUAAGAGCAUAGCUGUUGGGACCCGAAAGAUGGUGAACUAUGCCUGAAUAGGGUGAAGCCAGAGGAAACUCUGGUGGAGGCUCGCAGCGGUUCUGACGUGCAAAUCGAUCGUCAAAUUUGGGUAUAGGGGCGAAAGACUAAUCGAACCAUCUAGUAGCUGGUUCCUGCCGAAGUUUCCCUCAGGAUAGCAGUAACGUUUUCAGUUUUAUGAGG
Molecule: ribosomal RNA, 913 nt
Filed under: Umbilicaria cylindrica
Lineage: Eukaryota; Fungi; Ascomycota; Lecanoromycetes; Umbilicariales; Umbilicariaceae
Description: eukaryotic LSU rRNA
Rfam family: Eukaryotic large subunit ribosomal RNA
Source: RNAcentral